RNAcentral lists this non-coding RNA (148 nucleotides) under Chlorocebus sabaeus (green monkey). The record is from Rfam by way of RNAcentral. Lineage: Eukaryota; Metazoa; Chordata; Mammalia; Primates; Cercopithecidae.
GCCAGGCAUGGUGGUGCGUGCCUGUAGUCCCAGCUACUUGGGAGGCUGAGGCAGAAGAAUCGCUUGAACCCGGGAGUUGGAGGUUGCAGUGAGCUGAGAUUGUGCCACUGCACUCCAGCCCAGGUGACAGAGCGAGACUGUGUCUCAA